AACUAAUCAUAUAUUGAUUGCAAAUCAAUAAUUUACAUUUGUAGAUUAGGUG
RNAcentral lists this transfer RNA (52 nucleotides) under Ichthyoxenos japonensis. RNAcentral describes it as "tRNA-Cys". Lineage: Eukaryota; Metazoa; Arthropoda; Malacostraca; Isopoda; Cymothoidae. The record is from RNAcentral.